ACAAAUCCAUCCUGUUGAGAAAAAAUGAAAGGAUAUGGGGAGAGGAGUGCCCUCCAUACCCCAUGCAUGCAGGAAAGAUGGGGCUUAGCCCUGAAGUUUUCAAGGGAUCCCCAUGCGUGCGGGCAAGGCUGGGGUGCCCUCCUGCUGGGGAGGGGACCCCGUGCGUGGAGGUGAGAUGGGGCUUAGCUCUGAAGUUUUCAAGAGAUCCCCAUGCGUGCAAGCGAGGCUGGGGUGCCCUCCGGUUGGGGAGGGGACCCCGUGCGUGGAGGUGAGAUGGGGCUUAGCUCUGAAGUUUUCAAGAGAUCCCCAUGCGUGCAGGCAAUGCUGGGGUGCCCUCCUGCUGGGGAGGCGACCCCGUGCGUGGAGGUGAGAUGGGGCUUAGCUCUGAAGUUUUCAAGAGAUCCCCAUGCGUGCAAGCGAGGCUGGGGUGCCCUCCUGCUGGGGAGGGGACCCCGUGUGUGGAGGUGAGAUGGGGCUUAGCUCUGAAGUUUUCAAGAGAUCCCCAUGCGUGCAGGCAAUGCUGGGGUGCCCUCCUGCUGGGGAGGGGACCCCGUGCGUGGAGGUGAGAUGGGGCUUAGCUCUGAAGUUUUCAAGAGAUCCCCAUGCGUGCAGGCAAGGCUGGGGUGCCCUCCUGCUGGGGAGGGGACCCCGUGCGUGGAGGUGAGAUGGGGCUUAGCUCUGAAGUUUUCAAGAGAUCCCCAUGCGUGCAGGCAAUGCUGGGGUGCCCUCCUGCUGGGGAGGGGACCCCGUGCGUGGAGGUGAGAUGGGGCUUAGCUCUGAAGUUUUCAAGAGAUCCCCAUGCGUGCAGGCAAGGCUGGGGUGCCCUCCUGCUGGGGAGGGGACCCCGUGCGUGGAGGUGAGAUGGGGCUUAGCUCUGAAGUUUUCAAGAGAUCCCCAUGCGUGCAGGCAAGACUGGGGUGCCCUCCUGCUGGGGAGGGGACCCCGUGCAUGGAGGUGAGAUGGGGCUUAGCUCUGAAGUUUUCAAGAGAUCCCCAUGCGUGCAGGCAAGGCUGGGGUGCCCUCCUGCUGGGGAGGGGACCCCGUGCGUGGAGGUGAGAUGGGGCUUAGCUCUGAAGUUUUCAAGAGAUCCCCAUGCGUGCAGGAUGGCUGGGGUGCCCUCCG
Long non-coding RNA from Lagopus muta (rock ptarmigan), 1122 nucleotides. RefSeq lists it as uncharacterized. NCBI's taxonomy places the organism in Eukaryota, Metazoa, Chordata, Aves, Galliformes, Phasianidae. The transcript is spliced from 3 exons. The record is from RefSeq and is a predicted model, not a curated record.